UAGGGAAUCUUCCACAAUGGACGCAAGUCUGAUGGAGCAACGCCGCGUGAGUGAAGAAGGUUUUCGGAUCGUAAAGCUCUGUUGUUGGUGAAGAAGGAUAGAGGCAGUAACCGGUCUUUAUUUGACGGUAAUCAACCAGAAAGUCACGGCUAACUACGUGCCAGCAGCCGCGGUAAUACGUAGGUGGCAAGCGUUGUCCGGAUUUAUUGGGCGUAAAGCGAGCGCAGGCGGAAUGAUAAGUCUGAUGUGAAAGCCCACGGCUCAACCGUGGAACUGCAUCGGAAACUGUCAUUCUUGAGUGCAGAAGAGGAGAGUGGAACUCCAUGUGUAGCGGUGGAAUGCGUAGAUAUAUGGAAGAACACCAGUGGCGAAGGCGGCUCUCUGGUCUGCAACUGACGCUGAGGCUCGAAAGCAUGGUAGCGAACAGGAUUAGAUACCCUGGUAGUC
RNAcentral lists this ribosomal RNA (447 nucleotides) under uncultured bacterium. RNAcentral describes it as "partial 16S ribosomal RNA". It matches the Rfam family "Bacterial small subunit ribosomal RNA", at positions 355 to 795 of the family's 1533-position model. The record is from RNAcentral.